UGAGGAAUAUUGGUCAAUGGGCGCAAGCCUGAACCAGCCAUCCCGCGUGCAGGAAGACGGCCCUAUGGGUUGUAAACUGCUUUUCCAGGGGGAGAAUUUUUCUGUCGUGACAGGAAUUGACGGUACCCUGGGACUAAGCAUCGGCUAAAUCAGUGCCAGCAGCCGCGGUAAUACGGAGGAUGCGAGCGUUAUCCGGAUUUAUUGGGUUUAAAGGGUGCGUAGGCGGAUAGAUAAGUCAGUGGUGAAAACCUGCAGCUUAACUGUAGACUUGCCGUUGAUACUGUCAGUCUUGAGUAUGGUCAACGUAGGCGGAAUUUGUAAUGUAGCGGUGAAAUGCUUAGAUAUUACACAGAACACCGAUUGCGAUAGCAGCUUACUGUGCCAUUACUGACGCUGGUGCACGGAGGCGUGGGGAUCGAACA
This 422-nucleotide ribosomal RNA is filed under the name uncultured prokaryote. RNAcentral describes it as "bacterial SSU rRNA". It matches the Rfam family "Bacterial small subunit ribosomal RNA", at positions 355 to 774 of the family's 1533-position model. The record is from RNAcentral.